Molecule: ribosomal RNA, 253 nt
Filed under: uncultured bacterium
Lineage: Bacteria
Description: partial 16S ribosomal RNA
Rfam family: Bacterial small subunit ribosomal RNA
Source: RNAcentral
UACGAGGGGGGCAAAUGUUGUUCGGAAUCACUGGGCGUAAAGGGAGCGUAGGCGGGGUCUUAAGUAAAGUGUUUAAUCCCGGGGCCCAACCCCGGACCGGCAUUUUAAACUGGGACUCUUGAAUAGUGGAGAGGUCGGUGGAAUUGGAGGUGUAGCGGUGGAAUGCGUAGAGAUCUCCAAGAACACCAGUUGCGAAGGCGGCCGACUGGACACAUAUUGACGCUGAGGCUCGAAAGCAUGGGGAGCAAACAGG